GACGAACGCUGGCGGCGUGCUUAACACAUGCAAGUCGAACGGAAAGGCCCUGCUUGCAGGGUACUCGAGUGGCGAACGGGUGAGUAACACGUGGGUGAUCUGCCCUGCACUUCGGGAUAAGCCUGGGAAACUGGGUCUAAUACCGGAUAGGAGCCAUUUUUAGUGUGAUGGUUGGAAAGUUUUUUCGGUGUAGGAUGAGCUCGCGGCCUAUCAGCUUGUUGGUGGGGUAAUGGCCUACCAAGGCGGCGACGGGUAGCCGGCCUGAGAGGGUGGACGGCCACAUUGGGACUGAGAUACGGCCCAGACUCAUACGGGAGGCAGCAGUGGGGAAUAUUGCACAAUGGGCGCAAGCCUGAUGCAGCGACGCCGCGUGGGGGAUGACGGCCUUCGGGUUGUAAACGCCUUUCGCUAGGGACGAAGCUUUUUGUGACGGUACCUAGAUAAGAAGCACCGGCUAACUACGUG
This 465-nucleotide ribosomal RNA is filed under the name uncultured bacterium. Its description in RNAcentral is "partial 16S ribosomal RNA". It matches the Rfam family "Bacterial small subunit ribosomal RNA", at positions 28 to 507 of the family's 1533-position model. The record is from RNAcentral.